GCCAGCAACUAGCUCUCUGCAACUCUCACAUGGUCGCUCACUGAAGCUAAGCAGGGCUGCGCCUGGUUAGUACCUGGAUGGGAGACCACAUGGGAAAGCUAGGUUGCUGUUGGAA
This 115-nucleotide ribosomal RNA is filed under the name Danio rerio (zebrafish). Lineage: Eukaryota; Metazoa; Chordata; Actinopteri; Cypriniformes; Danionidae. The record is from RNAcentral.